GGAAGAGUUAGUGCUGCAAGGGGUUCUGGGUAUUUUUUUCUGUUGUGUUUAUGUUGUGUUACGGUGCGGAUGUUCUCCCGAAAUGUGUUUGUCAUUCUUGUUUGGUGUGGUAGUUCAUACGGCCACCCUCAGUGUGAACUGCAUGGCUGUUGAUCAAGUACGCGUUGCAUUCACUUAUGUGUGUGUUAAAGCUGCAUAUAUUAUAUGAAUGGGCCUGUACGUGUCACGGCGCGGAUUCGAACCCGUGUCUCUCAUAAUUCUGAGUGUCACAAUUCCUCUUCUGGCUGCUCGCUCGGACACGCCCCCGCUCACGCUGGGCAGCGACAAGGCUGCCGGCAAUCACUCAUCAUCACACCUGGGCUUGACGAGAGGGAGCGGCAUAAAGAGACAGCGAAGCCAGGAGACCUUUGCCAGAACGUAGCCAAUCUCACCUGAUGUUUUCCGCGAUCGUGUCUUGCCUCACGACCUCCUCCCGGAUUGUUGCUUGCCUUCCCCGAUCCUUGACCACUGUUUGGACCCUGACAUCGUUGCCUCUCUCCAGCCCCCGACUGCUUGCCUUCCUGCUGACUACCCCUUCGCCUUCCCCUUUGGAUUCGACGAAAGAUACAUCCAACACGCACCGACAACACCCUCUGGUAAAUUCUACAUUGUUAAUUCCACACAUAGUCUGCAUUCACUCACUAGUGGUAGCAUACACUUCCCACACAUUCAUCAAAGGUUUAAAUAAACCUUCAAAAACGCAGUUCUGCCUUGGUGUCGCCUCCUUCCCUUUGUCUAGUACACAACAGUACGUUCUGGCCAAAAACAU
Molecule: non-coding RNA, 808 nt
Organism: Nerophis lumbriciformis (worm pipefish)
Lineage: Eukaryota; Metazoa; Chordata; Actinopteri; Syngnathiformes; Syngnathidae
Source: RefSeq, a predicted model, not a curated record